Long non-coding RNA from Quercus robur (English oak), 703 nucleotides. RefSeq lists it as uncharacterized. The transcript is spliced from 2 exons. The record is from RefSeq and is a predicted model, not a curated record. Lineage: Eukaryota; Viridiplantae; Streptophyta; Magnoliopsida; Fagales; Fagaceae.
AUCUGGACCACUUCUUGAUUAGGCGGAUUUGAAAAUUGCAACCCCCUGGGACUUGGAGCAUCUCCAUAUAUUCAAGUGAUUGCAGAUUGAUCGUGGAGCCAUAGUUUUGAAACCCGGACCGGACCGUACGGUCCGACCGGAAAACCCUCAAACCGCUCAUUUUUACGGUUCUUUAAGCUUCAAGAACCGUUCUAUAGAAAAAAACAGGGAACCGUGCGAACCGCGGUCAGACCUCACGGUUCUGAGAACCGUGAACGGUUCUCGCGGUUCUCACGGUUCCUUUUUUUUUUUCAUCAAAUACCAGCUGAAAUGCACUUUGGACUUUUUUCAGAUCUGGAACCAGUGAGGGAAAAAAAAACAAACUGAGAAGAAUAAGAUUACAAAGUACGGACUAUGCAAAGUUGAAGCAGUAAGCUAGCAACCCAGCACAGAUCGUCAGUUACGGCCUUCAUCUUCGUCUUCAGCUUCUAUUUCUUCUUCUUUCUUCUUUUUCUCCUUCUUCUCUUUCUUCUUUCCGUCUCCACUUCUGUGGUUUCUGAGUUUCUCACACUUCUCUCUGUUUUACUUUUUGCUGCAAAGAGAGAAAAACUAAAGGAUCGGACUAAAGGAUAAAAGGAAAAAACUGAAGUGUAAAUUAGUGAGGUUAGGUGAGGUAGGUGUGAUAUUUAAUUGGGAGUGUAUUUAUUAAUUAAUAUUUUUAUUU